RNAcentral lists this ribosomal RNA (498 nucleotides) under uncultured bacterium. Its description in RNAcentral is "partial 16S ribosomal RNA". It matches the Rfam family "Bacterial small subunit ribosomal RNA", at positions 30 to 523 of the family's 1533-position model. The record is from RNAcentral.
AUUGAACGCUGGCGGCAUGCCUUACACAUGCAAGUCGAACGGUAACAGGUCUUCGGAUGCUGACGAGUGGCGAACGGGUGAGUAAUACAUCGGAACGUGCCUAGUAGUGGGGGAUAACUACUCGAAAGAGUGGCUAAUACCGCAUGAGAUCUACGGAUGAAAGCAGGGGAUCGCAAGCACUGGUGCUACUAGAGCGGACGAAGUCAGAUUAGGUAGUUGGUGGGAUAAAAGCUUACCAAGCCGACGAUCUGUAGCUGGUCUGAGAGGACGAUCAGCCACACUGGGACUGAGACACGGCCCAGACUCCUACGGGAGGCAGCAGUGGGGAAUUUUGGACAAUGGGCGCAAGCCUGAUCCAGCAAUGCCGCGUGCAGGAUGAAGGCCUUCGGGUUGUAAACUGCUUUUGUACGGAACGAAAAGCCCUGGGUUAAUACCCUGGGUUCAUGACGGUACCGUAAGAAUAAGCACCGGCUAACUACGUGCCAGCAGCCGCCGUAA